GCUCGCAUUUGGUCCCACAACCGCCUUACCUUAUGAGGAGACCUGCGUCCACAGGGAGAGCGACUCCUCCAUAGGAUCAAAACUUUACCUCAGCACAAACAACUCCAGAUCCACGCAUGAUGCUUCACAUGUGAUAUCUGCUGUGAGUCUGAAGCUGCGGACUUUCCUCUCGCCACCCGCACUGAAACCUGGGUUUGACGUGUCUCAUACGCCACCUUUUGGACACUGGGGGAAACACAUGCCUGUGUAUCCUCUGUCCCGCAGCAUCAGAUGACACAAAUCAGAAGAUGUGAACCACAGACUGCUGCUGUUUUUAAGAGGUGACGGUGAUGGCUUCUUCUCUCCAGCUCGGCUGGCAGAGCUGGCAGACCGCGAGAGGAGUAAAAGAAAAGACAGUCCAACUUGUUGGGGGGUAUAAGGCAGACACAUUUGCAUACCCUGUGAGUCUUUGAUGCAUCUCGAAAAAUUCAAGUCUAGCCCAUAAAUAUUUGAAAAGGAGAGUGCAUGAAAAUCAACAUUUUUGUUACAUUAAAUUAACAUGUGUUCUUCUCCUGUUCUGCAUGGUUAAUUAGAGAACACCAUUCAGUCAGUCAGUCGGUGAGGUGGGGGGGGGGGGUUUUGAUUACAGUGCACGCGGAGCAGGUUUCAAAGGUGUGCAGCUGAUUCAUGCUCAGGACCACAGUGAUUAGUAUUCACAAUGAGGAUUCAUAAUUACCUGCAUUAUGAAAGAGGAUUAUAAAAAAGGAAGGAUAACAUGUGCCGGGAUAUGGGUUCACCCCCUUCAUUCACCAGUCACAGUUUAUCCUAACCCUCUAUUUAGCUUUUAGUAGCAACAUAUAAACAAUUAAUACAUAUUUAUCACACACUAUGAGACAGUUAUUAACAGGUAUGAGUGUUUAUUAAUGGAUUUGUUAACAUCAACUAUAAACAGAUAAUAUAUAUCUUGAAUUGCAGAAUAACACAAUUAUAGUCAUGUAAAUAAUCAUGUGUCCAGAGAUUUUAAAAGCAUUUAUAUUGUAUUUAUAUCUGUUACCAAAUAUGAGGGUAUUUUUAAGUGUUUAUUCAUGGCUUUGCCAACGUCUGCUAUAAACAGAUAAUGAAUAUCCAAUAUCACAGAAUAACACAGUUCUCUUUGUAUAAAUAGUCUUGUGUUCAGUGUUUUCAGAUAAAUGUAUAUAGAGUUGUAAACCUGCCGAACACACACACGGUAAAUAAGAGCUUUGUAACACAAAGUAAAAUUGCUAUGAGCCAGUGUUUAAAAAUGUAAACAUUUUGCCACCUCCAACAUUUAUCUCAAUACAAACACGAGGAUUAGAGACGUUACAUCUGUAUUUGGAACGUGUUGUUUCUGAGAACAUGUUGCUCUGUCAACAGCUCAUAAAAAAGCAUAAUGACUUCAUUGUGAUUUGCUCUAUACAGAGUGUAAAAAUGUAACGUACAGUAAGAGGAGAGAAAUGACGCAACCCGAUAUACACUCUGCCGUCGAGUGAGUGAGACGCUCUCCACCACCGACGUGGUCCAGUUGUAAAAAAGAUCAACUUCCACAACAACAAAAAGAAAACAACAACACAACUUAGUCAUUACCGGAUGCCAAGUUACGCAAUUAAUUCAAACACUAUUUGCAUACAUGCAAAUCAUCUCUCUCCCUCAAUUGGACUUGCAAAGUGGGACGCUCUGUUCUCAUUAGUUGACCCAAAUCUCUUACUUGUAACUCUGGAUUUCAUCAAAGUUUAGUCAGGAUCUAAUAUUUCCUUUCAAGUUAACAGAGAACCACUGAUUAAUCAUGUUGAAAUAAGGAGUGCAACAUGCCAUUUCUAAUUAUAUAGCUAUCAGGGACACCAUCACACAGCCCGUGCCAACAAUACUACAAAUAUACAAGUCUGUAACACUCGUGGAUACACGUUGACCAGUAUUAGACGAUAUGUGAUCUAUGUUGUCAGCACAUUAGUUCAGAGGCUCAAUCAGUGAAUCUAUGUAAGAGACGAGUGAAUUUUCCUUCUGCAACCGCUGUCGUUUGUGUUUCACCAAAACCUUUUCAAAUGGAGGCUUUGAGAUUAAUAUGUUCUUAUACUUAUUGGCAUGUGGCUUUAGGACUGGACCAUAUGGCUGAAAUCAUAUUGAGAUGAAAAUGUUCUUAUCAGUCGAUAUCAAUAUGAUCAUUAUGAUAAACGUCACAUUAUUGUUUCUUUUAAGUUUAAAGACUGAUUUUCACUCCUGAGUCAAGGUUGUGGUUUAAACUCUACUUUACUGGGCAGUGACUGACACUGUAUUUUACUAAUCUGCGGUAGAUCAACUAGAUGUUACAGCUCUUCACGGUGCUUAUACAAAGCAUUAUAUUGAUAUAUAUUGGACUUUUAUUAAAUUGCUCUUGAUUCAAUUUAUAUUGGGAUGAUUAUUGUUUUAUUGCACAGCUCUAUGUGGCUUAUAUUCAUUUUAGCCAAUACAAUUAAAAAGUACCAUGUACCAUUAUAUUUUACUGUGGACCUUAAGUUACAUUUAGCCGUUUCAAUGGCAUCAUUGCUGACUGUAUGUAAAUUUCCCUUAGCUCAGUGUGUGUGUGUGCGUGUGUGUGUGUGUGUGUGUGUGUGUGUGUGUGUGUGUGUGUGUGUGUGUGUGUGUGUGUGUGUGUGUGUGUGUGUGUGUGUGUGUGUGUGUCUGUGGAGCAGCUAGAUUAAAGAGGAGGCCCAGAGGCAUUUGCUUCAUUUACAAAGCAAUUGCUUUUAUGUACAAAAAGCCCAAUUCACUGUAGGUAUUGUAAAAGCCGAGCGUUUAAGGAACAUGAGAUGAAUUCAUUGUUUAAUGUAACACAGCACAUUCUCAAACACGCACUUAAUCAUUUAUGUCGGAGGAAUUGUGUUCUCUUUCUGUUAUAUUACGCCAGUAAACGCAUUAUUCAAUAUUUAUUAUUUCUACACUUGCUCCCAAAUGAUGCCGCGGCUUUAAUACAUAAACACUGUGGCUUUGGAAUCAAAGAUUUCCACAGAAGCUAUUGUUUUAAUUUCUGCAAAUAGAGCCACUGUGGUGCAGCGUGACUUUAAUCCAGCUUUCCCUCUAUUCUUUUUAUAGCGCGCACACACGUUGGGAAAAAUAUUCAGUGAUUCUUAACUCUUCAAUUAUUCAACAAAUCUCCAUUCUAUUUCUUACAUAUUAAAAAAUGUACCGUAUGUGGAGCUGGAGAAUGAUAAAACAGCAUAAAAUACUCUUUUGAAAUCAAAGCACCUAUUGCAUCGGCUUCCUUGCUUUUGUAUUUGUACAAUUGGACUACAAUCCGGAUCCCCACUGUGUUUCCCACUGUAGUCUAAUCCUCAGACACUGUCGGCGAGUAACAAUCAUAUUUAUGUGAUGGAAAUAUAGGUAUCUCUGGGAAUCACUGUAGGAUUUCUCCUUUCUCUGCGGCUGUCAGGGGGAAAAUAGUGAAUAUGUUACAAACGCAGGGUGCAGUGUAGUGAACAAUGUAGACCUGAGAACAAGGUCGGACUCCUCAGCAGGGUCUCAAUAGGUUUCCUCCUUUCAACCACAGACCUGCCAAAAAAAGAAAAGAAGCAACAAAAGUCAAAGCCUCAGCCUGAUCUGUGUCUCUGCAGCACACUGUAAACACCGGAGCUUUAUUCAGCGUGAGAUAUUUUAUUUACCGCUGCUUGUUUAUUAGCUUUUAUUUACGUGUAGAAAACCCACUCUGACUAAGAUUCCUGUCAGGAAACUGAGCCGCAUGUGUCUAAGUCUCUCCCCAUGUGAAGAAGCAUUUCUGAAGCCAGUAAGUAUUUAGUAAAGGAUUAAUGCGGGAGGCCGUGAUUGCGUUUAACAGAACAGGACCCAAUUAGCAUAAUAGGCCCUCUUUCAUUCUCUUUGAAGUCCAGAGCAUAGAAUAACAAAUGUAUAUGAACCAGCAGCCAGACGUCAAUACAUGGAAAUGCCACAAUUCUCAGCGGAGGGUCUUGGGUGAAUUUUUCUGCAGGAGGAGGGAAAAACAUCCCAUUUUAUUUGCGGAAUAAGCAGAACAGAGGAUGCGAUGGGUCUUCUAGCCACCAGGGCCAGCUGGUGCUGUGGGCCACCGACCCUGGAGGAGAGAUGGAGGCAGGGAGGCUGUGGCUGCUGUGGGAGGUGCAUCCUCUCUCUCUCUCUCUCUCUCUCUCUCUCUCUCUCUCUCUCUCUCUCUCUCUCUCUCUCUCUCUCUCAGGUGUUUUCAAAGCACGGCCGCGGUGCAGACGAGUGAAAGUAAUUACUCUCCAAUCAGAGAUAAAGAUGUCACUUGGGAGGGAGCCGCAACACAACAGCUCGCUGCGAGAUAGGCGAACCAAGGCGAGGGCGCUGCAUCCAUUAAGAUCCUGCUUAUGCAUAUUUACCGCAGUGAUUUAUGAUAAAUGUAAUAAAUAUUCGUAUUGAAAACUGCAAGAAUUGGGCAUAAAGGCAAUGUCUCACUUUUUUAUUUAAAACAUAUUCUCAAUAUUCCUUUCUUUUUGAAUCGCAUGUUCUUAGAGAUUUCUUUUUUACAAUUGCAAAGGAGGUAGGGUUCAUCAUUUAAAGAUAUGAAUUCUGUACUUCAGAAUCCAGAGUUAUUAGUAUCCACCUUCCUGGGUGAAAAUACACGGAAUUAAAAAUGCUCUUUUGAGAUGGAAAAAGCUUUGAACUUAAGAAACACUUCAAGAAGCCUCUCAGUUUUUUUUUGUAUUGAAACUUCACCUCCUCGGAGCACGCCAUAGUUUGGUUCCUUUUUCAAAUAAUAGAAUGAAGUUUAAUAGGUCAUGGCAAUCAAUGUGGGGCUUCAAAGAGAAUCCUGGAGCUGUGAUGAGUGCACAUUUUGUAUGUUUCCUUUGUACAUGAUUGGAAUAAAGAUUCGUUCAAUAAAUGCAUCGGCGAAAUAUGAUGAAGAACAAAGGCUCUUUUGGGUUAAAUGUUAAUGAUUAAAUUGAUUUUUUGGGGCUAAUUUCUUAAUCAGAUUGAAGAAUAAUAAAACCAUGUGGAUUCAAAUCUCUAGAAGUGGACAGCAGGAAAAGAAAAACACCAAUCUGUGGAAGGCAACACUGUCCUGCUCCUGCAAACACACUUUACUUGUUGCUGUUGAACUCUAUGACUCCGGCUCAAACCAUUUAGACCCUGUGGGAUUAUUUAGACCACUACCGUUUCCAGGGUUUAUAAUUUGUUUGAAAUUCUUCCUUCAUUU
Hippoglossus stenolepis (Pacific halibut) is the source of this 5161-nucleotide long non-coding RNA. RefSeq lists it as uncharacterized. The record is from RefSeq and is a predicted model, not a curated record. NCBI's taxonomy places the organism in Eukaryota, Metazoa, Chordata, Actinopteri, Pleuronectiformes, Pleuronectidae. The transcript has 3 exons.